RNAcentral lists this transfer RNA (70 nucleotides) under Marmota monax (woodchuck). RNAcentral describes it as "tRNA.Ala". Lineage: Eukaryota; Metazoa; Chordata; Mammalia; Rodentia; Sciuridae. The record is from RNAcentral.
GGAGUUGUGGCUCAGUGGUAAGAUCACUUGCCUAGCAUGUGUGAGGCCCUGCGUUCGAUUUUCAGCACCG